GGGAUUGUGGCUCAGCGGGAGAGCGCUCACCUCGCAUUUGCGAGAGCCUGGGUUCGAUCCUCAACAACACA
Molecule: transfer RNA, 71 nt
Filed under: Marmota monax (woodchuck)
Lineage: Eukaryota; Metazoa; Chordata; Mammalia; Rodentia; Sciuridae
Description: tRNA.Ala
Source: RNAcentral